GAGUUUGAUCCUGGCUCAGAACGAACGCUGGCGGCAGGCCUAACACAUGCAAGUCGAGCGCUACCUUCGGGUGGAGCGGCGGACGGGUUAGUAACGCGUGGGAACGUACCCAGAUCUAAGGAAUAGCCACUGGAAACGGUGAGUAAUACCUUAUACGCCCUUCGGGGGAAAGAUUUAUCGGAUUUGGAUCGGCCCGCGUUAGAUUAGAUAGUUGGUGGGGUAAUGGCCUACCAAGUCUACGAUCUAUAGCUGGUUUUAGAGGAUGAUCAGCAACACUGGGACUGAGACACGGCCCAGACUCCUACGGGAGGCAGCAGUGGGGAAUCUUGGACAAUGGGCGCAAGCCUGAUCCAGCCAUGCCGCGUGAGUGAUGAAGGCCUUAGGGUCGUAAAGCUCUUUCGCCAGAGAUGAUAAUGACAGUAUCUGGUAAAGAAACCCCGGCUAACUCCGUGCCAGCAGCCGCGGUAAUACGGAGGGGGUUAGCGUUGUUCGGAAUUACUGGGCGUAAAGCGUACGUAGGCGGAUUAGUCAGUCAGAGGUGAAAUCCCAGGGCUCAACCCUGGAACUGCCUUUGAUACUGCUAGUCUUGAGUUCGAGAGAGGUGAGUGGAAUUCCAAGUGUAGAGGUGAAAU
RNAcentral lists this ribosomal RNA (632 nucleotides) under uncultured bacterium. RNAcentral describes it as "bacterial SSU rRNA". It matches the Rfam family "Bacterial small subunit ribosomal RNA", at positions 9 to 687 of the family's 1533-position model. The record is from RNAcentral.